RNAcentral lists this ribosomal RNA (566 nucleotides) under uncultured bacterium. RNAcentral describes it as "partial 16S ribosomal RNA". It matches the Rfam family "Bacterial small subunit ribosomal RNA", at positions 355 to 914 of the family's 1533-position model. The record is from RNAcentral.
UGGGGAAUUUUGGACAAUGGGCGAAAGCCUGAUCCAGCAAUGCCGCGUGUGUGAAGAAGGCCUUCGGGUUGUAAAGCACUUUUGUCCGGAAAGAAAUCCUUGGCUCUAAUACAGCCGGGGGAUGACGGUACCGGAAGAAUAAGCACCGGCUAACUACGUGCCAGCAGCCGCGGUAAUACGUAGGGUGCAAGCGUUAAUCGGAAUUACUGGGCGUAAAGCGUGCGCAGGCGGUUUGCUAAGACCGAUGUGAAAUCCCCGGGCUCAACCUGGGAACUGCAUUGGUGACUGGCAGGCUAGAGUAUGGCAGAGGGGGGUAGAAUUCCACGUGUAGCAGUGAAAUGCGUAGAGAUGUGGAGGAAUACCGAUGGCGAAGGCAGCCCCCUGGGCCAAUACUGACGCUCAUGCACGAAAGCGUGGGGAGCAAACAGGAUUAGAUACCCUGGUAGUCCACGCCCUAAACGAUGUCAACUAGUUGUUGGGGAUUCAUUUCCUUAGUAACGUAGCUAACGCGUGAAGUUGACCGCCUGGGGAGUACGGUCGCAAGAUUAAAACUUAAAUGAAUUGAC